Cherax quadricarinatus is the source of this 509-nucleotide non-coding RNA. Lineage: Eukaryota; Metazoa; Arthropoda; Malacostraca; Decapoda; Parastacidae. The record is from RefSeq and is a predicted model, not a curated record.
UAUUUGGGUAUGAUAUUUACAUAACACUAUGAUACCCAAGAAUAGGGAGUGCUUAAGAGAACAAAAUAUUAUUAAUAUUACUAGAGCUCAUAGAUACCGUACUUUGUUCAUAACAGGUAAUGAAUUAUUAUUGUAUACUUUCAGCCAUAAAAAAUGGGAAGCAGUUGUGCAGUGUUUGUCAGUGCUUGAUGUUCUGAUAUCUCUUACAUGUUACGCAAAGGAAGUCAGUACUGUUAGACCAAACGUAGUUAUGCCUGAAGAAAAAGUUCAGCCAUUCCUAGAAAUCAGAGAUGGUCUUCAUCCAUGUGGGCAGCAACGUUUAGUGGUGAUGAAUUCAUUCCUAAUGAUGUGGUUAUGGGUGGCACUAGUGAAGAUGCUCAUUCGAACCUGGUGCUGGUCACAGGACCAAAUAUGGGUGGCAAAUCAACACUUAUGAGACAGACUGCUCUUAUAUGUAUUCUAGCACAGUUGGGAUCAUUUGUUCCUGCAAGGUCAUGCCAGUUGACUCC